UUUACUCAACUUGUUUGUCUUUUAUUAUAUAAGCCAACCCCGUUUUUUGUAGAGUAGACCUCCACUAAAGUCUUCCAGCCGUCUACAUUCUCAGCACCAACUGAACCACCCGAGCCCAAAGAUGUUCACCUUGAAGAAAUCCCUGUUACUCCUUUUCUUCCUUGGGACCAUCAACUUAUCUCUCUGUGAGGAAGAGAGAGAUGCCGAUGAAGAAGAGAGAAGAGAUGAUCCCGAAGAAAGACAUGUUGAAGUGGAAAAACGAUUUAUAGGAGCUCUUGUAAAUGCACUCACUCGUGUUUUGGGAAAAUAACCAAAAAAUUGUAAAACUUUGGAAAUGGAAUUGGAAAUCAUCUGAUGUGGAAUAUUAUUUAGCUAAAUGCACAUCAGAUGUCUUAUAAAAAAUAAAGAUAUAACAUGCA
Long non-coding RNA from Rana temporaria (common frog), 419 nucleotides. RefSeq lists it as uncharacterized. Lineage: Eukaryota; Metazoa; Chordata; Amphibia; Anura; Ranidae. The transcript is spliced from 3 exons. The record is from RefSeq and is a predicted model, not a curated record.